GCCUAACACAUGCAAGUCGAACGGCAGCACAGUAAGAGCUUGCUCUUACGGGUGGCGAGUGGCGGACGGGUGAGGAAUACAUCGGAAUCUACUUUUUCGUGGGGGAUAACGUAGGGAAACUUACGCUAAUACCGCAUACGACCUACGGGUGAAAGCAGGGGAUCUUCGGACCUUGCGCGAUUGAAUGAGCCGAUGUCGGAUUAGCUAGUUGGCGGGGUAAAGGCCCACCAAGGCGACGAUCCGUAGCUGGUCUGAGAGGAUGAUCAGCCACACUGGAACUGAGACACGGUCCAGACUCCUACGGGAGGCAGCAGUGGGGAAUAUUGGACAAUGGGCGCAAGCCUGGUCCAGCCAUACCGCGUGGGUGAAGAAGGCCUUCGGGUUGUAAAGCCCUUUUGUUGGGGAAGAAAUCCAGCUGGUUAAUACCCGGUUGGGAUGACGGUACCCAAAGAAUAAGCACCGGCUAACUUCGUGCCAGCAGCCGCGGUAAUACGAAGGGUGCAAGCGUUACUCGGAAUUACUGGGCGUAAAGCGUGCGUAGGUGGUUGUUUAAGUCUGUCGUGAAAGCCCUGGGCUCAACCUGGGAACUGCCGUGGAAACUGGACGACUAGAGUGUGGUAGAGGGUAGCGGAAUUCCUGGUGUAGCAGUGAAAUGCGUAGAGAUCAGGAGGAACAUCCAUGGCCAAGGCAGCUACCUGGACCAACACUGACACUGAGGCACGA
Molecule: ribosomal RNA, 723 nt
Filed under: uncultured Stenotrophomonas sp.
Lineage: Bacteria; Pseudomonadati; Pseudomonadota; Gammaproteobacteria; Lysobacterales; Lysobacteraceae
Description: bacterial SSU rRNA
Rfam family: Bacterial small subunit ribosomal RNA
Source: RNAcentral